RNAcentral lists this ribosomal RNA (274 nucleotides) under uncultured bacterium. RNAcentral describes it as "partial 16S ribosomal RNA". It matches the Rfam family "Bacterial small subunit ribosomal RNA", at positions 523 to 796 of the family's 1533-position model. The record is from RNAcentral.
AUACGGAGGGGGCUAGCGGUGUUCGGAAUUACUGGGCGUAAAGCGCGCGUAGGCGGGCUGGUGAGUUGGGGGUGAAAUCCCAGGGCUCAACCCUGGAACUGCCCUCAAUACUGCCAGUCUUGAGUUCGAGAGAGGUAAGCGGAAUUCCUAGUGUAGAGGUGAAAUUCGUAGAUAUUAGGAAGAACACCAGUGGCGAAGGCGGCUUACUGGCUCGAUACUGACGCUGAGGCGCGAAAGCGUGGGGAGCAAACAGGAUUAGAAACCCGGGUAGUCC